GAAAGUAAAGAAGGGCGCAUGGCGGAUGCUUGGCUCUCGGAGGCGAUGAAGGACGUGAUAAGCUGCGAUAAGCUUUGGGGAGGUGCAAAUGACCUUUGAUCCAGAGAUUUCCGAAUGGGACAACCCAAUAUCUUGAAGAGGUAUUAUCCAACGUGUUGGAGGCUAACGCAGGGAACUGAAACAUCUUAGUACCUGCAGGAAAAGAAAAUAAACAAUGAUUCCCCCAGUAGUGGCGAGCGAACGGGGAACAGCCCAAACCAUCCAUGUUACGGCAUGGGUGGGGUUGUAGGACUACGCCGUUGCAUGAAGACAUCAGAGAAGAACUUUCUGGAAAGAAAGACCAUAGAGCAUGACAGUUGCGUAUUCGAAUGUUGUCGAAGCAUAGUAGUAUCCUGAGUAGCGCGGAGCACGAGGAAUUCUGCGUGAAUCUGCCGGGACCAUCCGGUAAGGCUAAAUACUCCCGAGAGACCGAUAGCGAACCAGUACCGUGAGGGAAAGGUGAAAAGCACUUCGAACAGAAGAGUGAAAUAGUUCCUGAAACCGUGCGCCUACAAGCGGUCGGAGCUCGUUAAUGAGUGACGGCGUGCCUUUUGCAUAAUGAACCUACGAGUUGCCUUUGCCGGCAAGGUUAAGUGUGACGACACACGUAUCCGAAGCGAAAGCGAGUCUGAACAGGGCGUAUAGUCGGCAGUGGCAGACGCGAAACCAAGUGAUCUACCCUUGGCCAGGUUGAAGGCUGGGUAACACCAGCUGGAGGACCGCACCAAUAAGCGUUGAAAAGCUUCUGGAUGAGCUGAGGGUAGGGGUGAAAGGCUAAUCAAACUUGGAGAUAGCUCGUACUCCCCGAAAUGCAUUUAGGUGCAGCCUUGCGGGUUACUGAUGUGAGGUAGAGCGACUGAUAAGAUGCGAGGGCUUCACCGCCUAUCAAGUCUUGACAAACUCCGAAUGCGCAUCAGUUCUACCGCAGGAGUGAGGGCAUGGGUGCUAAGGUCCGUGCCCGAGAGGAGAAGAAUCCGGACCACCUGCUAAGGUCCCGAAAUGACAGCUAAGUUAAACUAACGAAGUCUGACUGCUAAGACAGCUAGGAUGUUGGCUUGGAAGCAGCCAUUCAUUUAAAGAGUGCGUAACAGCUCACUAGUCGAGGAGUCGGGCGUGGAUAAUAAUCGGGUAUUAAGUUGUCUACCGAAGCAGUGGGAUCAUUUAUAUGAUCGGUAGGGGAGCAUUCCAGUCAGCGUCGAAGGCGUACCGUGAGGUAUUCUGGAGCGUCUGGAAAAGCAAAUGUAGGUAUAAGUAACGAUAAAGGGGCGGGAAACCCCCUCGCCGAAAGACUAAGGUUUCCUGAUCAACGCUAAUCGGAUCAGGGUCAGUCGGGUCCUAAGGCUCAGCCGAACGGCGAUGCCGAUGGCAGAAACGGUUAAUAUUCCGUUACUACCUUCAGGAGUGACGUGGAGACGCAGUAGUGACAGUGCCGCCAUCUGACGGAAUAGAUGGUUGAAGGGUGUAGGAGUCGAUCAUGGCAGGCAAAUCCACCAUGAGAUCCGAACCUGAUAGUAUGCCGCGUCCUUCGGGACAAGGCAAUAGUGCGCGUAAGCAUGCUGCCGAGAAAAUCCGCUAAACUUAAUCCUGUAGGUACCCGUACCGCAAACGGACACACGUAGUCGGGAUGAAUAUUCUAAGGCGCUUGAGUGAUUCACGGUUAAGGAACUAGGCAAACUGACCCUGUAACUUCGGGAUAAAGGGUCCCUACCCUUUUAUGGGAGGGCGCAGAGAAUCGGUCCAGGCAACUGUUUAACAAAAACACAGGGCUGUGCCAAAUCGAAAGAUCCAGUAUACAGCCUGACACCUGCCCGGUGCUGGAAGGUUAAGAGGAGAUGUCAUCGAUAAGAGAAGCGUUGAAUUGAAGCCCCAGUAAACGGCGGCCGUAACUAUAACGGUCCUAAGGUAGCGAAAUUCCUUGUCGGGUAAGUUCCGACCUGCACGAAUGGUGUAAUGAUCUGGACGCUGUCUCAACCGUGAGCU
RNAcentral lists this ribosomal RNA (2019 nucleotides) under human gut metagenome. RNAcentral describes it as "bacterial LSU rRNA". It matches the Rfam family "Bacterial large subunit ribosomal RNA", at positions 1 to 2033 of the family's 2925-position model. The record is from RNAcentral.